AUGGUACAAAGUUCGUCUCUCAAGCAUCUCGGCUUCACCGUGUUCAUAUCAUGGUCAUGGAUUCACUCCAACGAAACAUGUUACACAGUUGCAAUCAAAAGCAAGCGGAAAAACAAAGGAAAAAAGGCAUGUUUUUCUCCGACUUGCCUUUUAUUGUCUUCUCCUUCUGAUUCUGCUGUUGCUUAUUUCUCGUUUGUUCUUCCUACGCUGUUUUGUAGCAGAAUUUUGCAGGUUAUGAGCAGGGACAACAUGGCUGGAUUUGGGAAAUUUAUGGGCUGA
Vicia faba (fava bean) is the source of this 279-nucleotide non-coding RNA. NCBI's taxonomy places the organism in Eukaryota, Viridiplantae, Streptophyta, Magnoliopsida, Fabales, Fabaceae. The record is from the annotation of a GenBank genome assembly.